UGCUAUACGUCUCUUCUCCUCCGAUCGACCCCCACGGAUACAUAUACGGUGGAUCCUCGCUCGCUCGCCGCCGGCGGCGGCGGCGCGUCGCUGACCUCAGUCCUGUUGCUUGCCGAGGAGGUCGUAGAACACCGGCGGCUUCUUGUACCCCUUGGCGCACGCCUGCUGCGUGGCGAAGGCCACGUGGAGGAGGGUGGCCUCGGCCCACGGCCUGCCGAUGAACUGGAGGCCGAUGGGGAGGCCGCCCCUGUCGUAGCCGACCGUGACGGUGAUGGCCGGCAGGCCGAGGAAGUUGCCGGCUAUGGAGUACCGGACCAGCGCGGCUGCAUGCAGUUAAGAGCAGUGAGCCAGUCAGGAACUCAGGACUCAGGAUGGAUGCACCGAUGCCGCCGGUGCAGA
This 399-nucleotide unclassified non-coding RNA is filed under the name Zea mays. Its description in RNAcentral is "misc RNA Zm00001eb407870". Lineage: Eukaryota; Viridiplantae; Streptophyta; Magnoliopsida; Poales; Poaceae. The record is from RNAcentral.